GGAAACGAUAACUAAUACCGUAUACGCCCUACGGGGGAAAGAUUUAUUGCUAUUAGAUGAGCCUAUAUUAGAUUAGCUAGUUGGUAGGGUAAUGGCCUGCCAAGGCUAUAAUCUAUAGCUGAUCUGAGAGGAUGGUCAGCCACACUGGAACUGAGAUACGGUCCAGACUCCUACGGGAGGCAGCAGUGGGGAAUAUUGGACAAUGAGCGAAAGCUUGAUCCAGCCAUGCCGCAUGAGUGAAGAAGGCCUUUGGGUUGUAAAGCUCUUUCAGUGAGGAAGAUAAUGACGGUACUCACAGAAGAAGUCCUGGCUAACUCCGUGCCAGCAGCCGCGGUAAUACGGAGAGGGCUAGCGUUAUUCGGAAUUAUUGGGCGUAAAGAGCACGUAGGCUGGUUAGUAAGUUAAAAGUGAAAUUCCAAAGCUUAACUUUGGAAUUGCUUUUAAAACUGUUAACCUAGAGGUUGAAAGAGGAUAGAGGAAUUCCUAGUGUAGAGGUGAAAUUCGUAAAUAUUAGGAGGAACACCAGUGGCGAAGGCGUCUAUCUGGUUCAAAUCUGACGCUGAGGUGCGAAGGCGUGGGGAGCAAACAGGAUUAGAUACCCUGGUAGUCCACGCUGUAAACGAUGAAUGUUAAAUAUGGGGAGGGUACUUUCUGUAUUAUAGCUAACGCGUUAAACAUUCCGCCUGGGGACUACGGUCGCAAGAUUAAAACUCAAAGGAAUUGACGGGGACCUGCACAAGCGGUGGAGCAUGUGGUUUAAUUCGAUGCAACGCGAAAAACCUUACCACUCCUUGACAUGGAAAUUGUACCUAUUCGAAAGGAUAGGGUCGGUUUGGCCGGAUUUCACACAGGUGUUGCAUGGCUGUCGUC
This 870-nucleotide ribosomal RNA is filed under the name Wolbachia endosymbiont of Dipetalonema gracile. RNAcentral describes it as "bacterial SSU rRNA". It matches the Rfam family "Bacterial small subunit ribosomal RNA", at positions 152 to 1056 of the family's 1533-position model. Lineage: Bacteria; Pseudomonadati; Pseudomonadota; Alphaproteobacteria; Rickettsiales; Anaplasmataceae. The record is from RNAcentral.